CCUACGGGCGGCAGCAGUGGGGGAUAUUGCACAAUGGGGGAAACCCUGAUGCAGCGACGCCGCGUGUGGGAUGACGGUCCUCUGGAUUGUAAACCACUGUCCCCAGGGACGAAAAUGACGGUACCUGGGGAGGAAGCCCCGGCUAACUACGUGCCAGCCGCCGCGGUAAUACGUAGGGGGCGAGCGUUGUCCGGAAUUACUGGGUGUAAAGGGAGCGUAGGCGGGGAUGAAAGUUGGGUGUAAAAACUACCGGCUCAACUGGUAGUCGCACUCAAAACUGCAGCUCUUGAGUGAAGUAGAGGCAGGCGGAAUUCCUAGUGUAGCGGUGAAAUGCGUAGAUAUUAGGAGGAACACCAGUGGCGAAGGCGGCCUGCUGGGCUUUUACUGACGUUGAGGCUCGAAAGUGUGGGGAGCAAACAGGAUUAGAUACCCUUGUAGUC
This 440-nucleotide ribosomal RNA is filed under the name uncultured bacterium. RNAcentral describes it as "partial 16S ribosomal RNA". It matches the Rfam family "Bacterial small subunit ribosomal RNA", at positions 338 to 795 of the family's 1533-position model. The record is from RNAcentral.